RNAcentral lists this non-coding RNA (205 nucleotides) under Desulfarculus baarsii. The record is from RNAcentral. Lineage: Bacteria; Pseudomonadati; Thermodesulfobacteriota; Desulfarculia; Desulfarculales; Desulfarculaceae. RNAcentral also lists the same sequence under 1 other name.
GCCAACACAUAUGGAACCGGUUCUCAUUUCUGAUGAGAUUAAUAGGGAAGACGGUGUAAAUCCGUCGCGGUCCCGCCGCUGUAACCGGGGACGAAAGCCGCAUUAAGCCCUUGCAAGGGCUUCAAGCCACUGCGCACUGCGUGGGAAGGCGCGGCGAGUAGAACGAUCCGGAAGCCAGAAGACCUGCCGAUUCCAAGGAGUACUG